CGGAUGGGUUUGACCGGUCCGCCGUUACGGUGUGCACUGGUCGUACCUAUCUUGCUGUCGGGGACGCGCUUCUGGCCUUAAUUGGCUGGGACGCGGAGUCGGCGAUGUUACUUUGAAAAAAUUAGAGUGUUCAAAGCAGGCCUAAGCUCUGAAUACAUUAGCAUGGAAUAACGCUAUAGGACUCUGGUCUUAUUGCGUUGGUCUUCGAGACCGGAGUAAUGAUUAAGAGGGACAGUUGGGGGCAUUCGUAUUUCAUUGUCAGAGGUGAAAUUCUUGGAUUUAUGAAAGACGAACUUCUGCGAAAGCAUUUGCCAAGGAUGUUUUCAUUAAUCAAGAACGAAAGUUGGGGGCUCGAAGACGAUCAGAUACCGUCCUAGUCUCAACCAUAAACGAUGCCGACUAGGGAUUGGCGGAUGUUAAUUCGAUGACUUCGCCAGCACCUUAUGAGAAAUCAAAGUUUUUGGGUUCCGGGGGGAGUAUGGUCG
RNAcentral lists this ribosomal RNA (485 nucleotides) under Pyramimonas sp. RCC5279. RNAcentral describes it as "SSU rRNA". It matches the Rfam family "Eukaryotic small subunit ribosomal RNA", at positions 642 to 1131 of the family's 1831-position model. The record is from RNAcentral. Lineage: Eukaryota; Viridiplantae; Chlorophyta; Pyramimonadophyceae; Pyramimonadales; Pyramimonadaceae.